Molecule: ribosomal RNA, 716 nt
Filed under: uncultured bacterium
Lineage: Bacteria
Description: bacterial SSU rRNA
Rfam family: Bacterial small subunit ribosomal RNA
Source: RNAcentral
GGUAGUCCACGCCGUAAACGAUGUCUACUAGCUGUAGGGGUACUUGAGACCUUUGUAGCGCAGCUAACGCAAUAAGUAGACCGCCUGGGGAGUACGGCCGCAAGGUUAAAACUCAAAUGAAUUGACGGGGGCCCGCACAAGCAGUGGAGCAUGUGGUUUAAUUCGAUGCAACGCGAAGAACCUUACCAGGCCUUGACAUCCUCGGAACUUUCUAGAGAUAGAUUGGUGCCUUCGGGAACCGAGUGACAGGUGCUGCAUGGUUGUCGUCAGCUCGUGUCGUGAGAUGUUGGGUUAAGUCCCGUAACGAGCGCAACCCUUGUCCUUAGUUGCCAGCACAUUAUGGUGGGAACUCUAAGGAGACUGCCGGUGACAAACCGGAGGAAGGUGGGGACGACGUCAAGUCAUCAUGGCCCUUACGGCCUGGGCUACACACGUGCUACAAUGGCUAGGACAGACGGCCGCAAACCCGCGAGGGGGAGCCAAUCCGACAAACCUAGUCGUAGUCCGGAUCGGAGUCUGCAACUCGACUCCGUGAAGUCGGAAUUGCUAGUAAUCGCGAAUCAGAAUGUCGCGGUGAAUACGUUCCCGGGCCUUGUACACACCGCCCGUCACACCAUGGGAGUGGGUUGCUCCAGAAGUGGUUAGUCUAACCUUCGGGAGGACGAUCACCACGGAGUGAUUCAUGACUGGGGUGAAGUCGUAACAAGGUAACCGUA